AUCUCAUUUCAUUCCUCUCUCAUCUUCCUUACACUUUUUCCUUUUCCAACCUCUUCCUACCCUUUCCAUUCAUCAAAAAUCGCCGUCAUGCCUGAAGAAGAGUGGGUUCAAACGGCAAUCAUGGAUGACUCUGUCGUUGCUGAAUUACUCUUGCGUCUCAGCCAGGCCAAUCCAUCUCCGUCUCCGAUUCCGGCUCCGGCUCCGUUACCGGCUAAGUUGAAGAGGACAGGUUCACCGCUUGAGUGGUCUGUGCGUCGGAGCAGGUCUAAACAAGUUUCUGUUAAUGCUAAGAAGGCGG
This 298-nucleotide unclassified non-coding RNA is filed under the name Hevea brasiliensis (rubber tree). The record is from RNAcentral. Lineage: Eukaryota; Viridiplantae; Streptophyta; Magnoliopsida; Malpighiales; Euphorbiaceae.